RNAcentral lists this ribosomal RNA (241 nucleotides) under uncultured soil bacterium. RNAcentral's name for it is "partial 16S ribosomal RNA". It matches the Rfam family "Bacterial small subunit ribosomal RNA", at positions 26 to 269 of the family's 1533-position model. The record is from RNAcentral.
AGAUUGAACGCUGGCGGCAUGCCUUACACAUGCAAGUCGAACGGCAGCACGGGAGCAAUCCUGGUGGCGAGUGGCGAACGGGUGAGUAAUACAUCGGAACGUGCCCAGUAGUGGGGGAUAGCCCGGCGAAAGCCGGAUUAAUACCGCAUACGACCUACGGGUGAAAGCGGGGGAUCGCAAGACUCGCGCUGUUGGAGCGGCCGAUGUCAGAUUAGGGUUGUUGGUGGGGUAAAGGCCUACC